Long non-coding RNA from Rosa rugosa (rugosa rose), 405 nucleotides. RefSeq lists it as uncharacterized. Lineage: Eukaryota; Viridiplantae; Streptophyta; Magnoliopsida; Rosales; Rosaceae. The transcript is spliced from 2 exons. The record is from RefSeq and is a predicted model, not a curated record.
UUAUGUCUUAAUGCUUACUAAUUCCAGCCAUGUCCCUUCUCCACCGAUUAACACAACGAACAAGCUCUCUCCUCCUCCUCCUCCACCACCACCAGACAUAGAAGACGAUAAGAGGAAGAAGCAGUCAAGUACAAUGAACCAAAAAAGAAAUCGGAGCUGCCCAUCUUCUCAUCUUCUUCCUCCUCAAACUCAUCCACGCCUCGCCUUCAAUCCCAGCUAGUCACGAGUCCAAGCCUCCACUGUCGAACCACCGCCGCCACAAUAAUGGAUGGCCACGAUUCAGAAAAUUCAAAGCAUUGCACUGUUGAUAUGUAUGCUUUUGUGAGUGCCAUUUACUCAGAAACUAUCGAGGGAGAGAGAAGCAAAGAUUUUGUGAGCACGAUUCCAGUCCAUCCCAUUUUCUUC